RNAcentral lists this ribosomal RNA (497 nucleotides) under uncultured bacterium. Its description in RNAcentral is "partial 16S ribosomal RNA". It matches the Rfam family "Bacterial small subunit ribosomal RNA", at positions 28 to 507 of the family's 1533-position model. The record is from RNAcentral.
GAUGAACGCUGGCGGCGUGCCUAAUACAUGCAAGUCGAGCGAACAGACGAGGAGCUGGCUCCUCUGACGUUAGCGGCGGACGGGUGAGUAACACGUGGAUAACCUACCUAUAAGACUGGGAUAACUUCGGGAAACCGGAGCUAAUACCGGAUAAUAUAUUGAACCGCAUGGUUCAAUAGUGAAAGACGGUUUUGCUGUCACUUAUAGAUGGAUCCGCGCCGCAUUAGCUAGUUGGUAAGGUAACGGCUUACCAAGGCAACGAUGCGUAGCCGACCUGAGAGGGUGAUCGGCCACACUGGAACUGAGACACGGUACAGACUCCUACGGGAGGCAGCAGUAGGGAAUCUUCCGCAAUGGGCGAAAGCCUGAAGGAGCAACGCCGCGUGGGUGAUGAAGGUCUUCGGAUCGUAAAACUCUGUUAUUAGGGAAGACCAAAUGUGUAAGUAACUAUGCACGUCUUGACGGUACCUAAUCAGAAAGCCACGGCUAACUACGUG